Nilaparvata lugens (brown planthopper) is the source of this 362-nucleotide long non-coding RNA. RefSeq lists it as uncharacterized. The transcript is spliced from 2 exons. NCBI's taxonomy places the organism in Eukaryota, Metazoa, Arthropoda, Insecta, Hemiptera, Delphacidae. The record is from RefSeq and is a predicted model, not a curated record.
AUUUAAGAGGAUCUCUACAGAAAUUUAAAAUUUCAUCAAUAUUCCACAACAAUAAUUCCUAGUCAUCGAAUAAAACGGAAUAAACAUUAUUUUUGAGACGUCUGCUAAUCAGCUGACUAGUAUUUAUAGAAGGAAGAGGUAAAAUUUUGAGGUUAGGUUUGAAAGUAUUAAAAAUUUUUCAAAAAACUUUUCUUAUCAUAAUUGAUAUUCUACUUCAAUCUUUGACAAAAUAUUGUCGUAUUAGAUGUCAACAACAUGUUGGAAUUUGUAAUAUAGCUUUCUUUGCAUCAAGUGUUUCUUUUAAUUACUGACAGUACUUCACUUUUCAAAGGAGAGCUAUUUCUGAAUGGUAGAUGAGCGAG